This 302-nucleotide long non-coding RNA is filed under the name Jatropha curcas. Its description in RNAcentral is "long non-coding RNA (JCUR_LNC002664)". Lineage: Eukaryota; Viridiplantae; Streptophyta; Magnoliopsida; Malpighiales; Euphorbiaceae. The record is from RNAcentral.
ACAUGUUGUACAUUACGCUGCAAUAUAGCAUUACUAGUCUCACGAUCGUCUUACAGAACUUACUUUUAUCAUAUUAAAAUUCUUCCUAUCACAUAGUACACUUAUAGCACUCCUCAAUUUCAUCCAUCCUGCUUGGAUUCUAUGAGAAAUAUCUUCAUCUAAGAGACGUUCCUCUGGAACACAGUUUAGACAUUUGAGUUGAAUGCAGUUGGGCACUACUGUACCAUUUAAUUUAAAUUCAUUUUUCCACUUUUUACUUAAAUCAAACUCUCAGUGCAUGUAAUCUGCUGUCUUGCUUUUGC